This is a non-coding RNA of Oncorhynchus mykiss (rainbow trout), 267 nucleotides long. NCBI's taxonomy places the organism in Eukaryota, Metazoa, Chordata, Actinopteri, Salmoniformes, Salmonidae. The record is from RefSeq and is a predicted model, not a curated record.
AUAUACCUGAACUGGUUUGGAACAGGACAGAGAGGAGAGGUUUCAUACCUUCUACAUAUACCUGAACUGGUUUGGAACAGGACAGAGAGGGGAGGUUUCAUACCUUCUACAUAUACCUGAACUGGUUUGGAACAGGACAGAGAGGGGAGGUUCCAUACCUUCUACAUAUACCUGAACUGGUUUGGAACAGGACAGAGAGGAGAGGUUUCAUACCUUCUACAUAUACCUGAACUGGUUUGGAACAGGACAGAGAGGGGAGGUGCCAUA